UAGUGGCGCACGGGUGAGUAACACGUGGGUGACCUGCCCUUGAGUUCGGGAUACCCCCUCGAAAGGGGGGCUAAUACCGGAUACGUUCCUUGGGUCGAAAGACUCGGGGAGGAAAGGUGGCGGAAGCUGCCGCUCUUGGAGGGGCUCGCGGCCUAUCAGCUAGUUGGCGGGGUAACGGCCCACCAAGGCUAUGACGGGUAGCUGGUCUGAGAGGACGACCAGCCACACGGGGACUGAGACACGGCUCCGACUCCUACGGGAGGCAGCAGUGGGGAAUUUUCCGCAAUGGGCGAAAGCCUGACGGAGUGACGCCGCGUGUGGGACGAAGGCCUUCGGGUCGUAAACCACUGUCAGUGGGAAAGAUGGGUGUCGGCGCUAAUACCGCUGGCAUCUGACGGUACCUGCAGAGGAAGCCCCGGCCAACUCUGUGCCAGCAGCCGCGGUAAGACAGAGGGGGCAAGCGUUGCUCGGAAUUACUGGGCGUAAAGGGCGCGUAGGCGGGAUGGCAAGUCGGUCGUGAAAUCCCUCGGCUCAACCGAGGAACGUCGAUCGAUACUGCUGUUCUUGAGGAUUGCAGAGGAGACUGGAAUUCCCGGUGUAGCGGUGAAAUGUGUAGAGAUCGGGAGGAACACCGGUGGCGAAGGCGGGUCUCUGGGCAAUUCC
RNAcentral lists this ribosomal RNA (663 nucleotides) under uncultured bacterium. RNAcentral describes it as "bacterial SSU rRNA". It matches the Rfam family "Bacterial small subunit ribosomal RNA", at positions 93 to 740 of the family's 1533-position model. The record is from RNAcentral.